UAGUAACUGCGAGUGAAGCGGGAAAAGCUCAAAUUUAAAAUCUGGCGGUCUUUGGCCGUCCGAGUUGUAGUCUGGAGAAGUGCUUUCCGCGCUGGACCGUGUAUAAGUCUCUUGGAACAGAGCGUCAUAGAGGGUGAGAAUCCCGUCUUUGACACGGACUACCAGUGCUUUGUGAUGCGCUCUCAAAGAGUCGAGUUGUUUGGGAAUGCAGCUCAAAAUGGGUGGUGAAUUCCAUCUAAAGCUAAAUAUUGGCGAGAGACCGAUAGCGAACAAGUACCGUGAGGGAAAGAUGAAAAGCACUUUGGAAAGAGAGUUAAACAGUACGUGAAAUUGCUGAAAGGGAAACGCUUGAAGUCAGUCGCGUCGUCCGGAACUCAGCCUUGCUUUCGCUUGGUGCACUUUCCGGAUGACGGGUCAGCAUCGAUUUUGACCGUCGGAAAAGGGCUGGAGUAAUGUGGCACCUCCGGGUGUGUUAUAGACUCUGGUCGCAUACGGCGGUUGGGAUCGAGGAACGCAGCGCGCCGUAAGGCAGGGGAUUCUCCCACUUUCGCGCUUAGGAUGCUGGCAUAAUGGCUUUAAACGACCCGUCUUGAAACACGGACCAAGGAGUCUAACAUACCUGCGAGUGUUUGGGUGGAAAACCCGAGCGCGCAAUGAAAGUGAAAGUUGAGACCUCUGUCGUGGAGGGCAUCGACGCCCGGACCUGACGUUCUCUGACGGAUCCGCGGUAGAGCAUGUAUGUUGGGACCCGAAAGAUGGUGAACUAUGCCUGAAUAGGGUGAAGCCAGAGGAAACUCUGGUGGAGGCUCGUAGCGAUUCUGACGUGCAAAUCGAUCGUCAAAUUUGGGUAUAGGGGGCGAAAGACUAAUCGAAC
RNAcentral lists this ribosomal RNA (874 nucleotides) under Ganoderma concinnum. Its description in RNAcentral is "partial large subunit ribosomal RNA". It matches the Rfam family "Eukaryotic large subunit ribosomal RNA", at positions 81 to 940 of the family's 3401-position model. The record is from RNAcentral. Lineage: Eukaryota; Fungi; Basidiomycota; Agaricomycetes; Polyporales; Polyporaceae.